RNAcentral lists this ribosomal RNA (253 nucleotides) under uncultured bacterium. RNAcentral describes it as "partial 16S ribosomal RNA". It matches the Rfam family "Bacterial small subunit ribosomal RNA", at positions 524 to 776 of the family's 1533-position model. The record is from RNAcentral.
UACAGAGGGUGCAAGCGUUGUUCGGAAUCAUUGGGCGUAAAGGGCGUGUAGGCGGUCUGUUAAGUCAUGUGUGAAAUCCCUCGGCUCAACCGGGGAACGACGCAUGAAACUGACAAGCUAGAGUACCAAAGAGGGGGGUGGAAUUCCCGGUGUAGCGGUGAAAUGCGCAGAUAUCGGGAAGAACACCCGUGGCGAAGGCGGUUCUCUGGGACGGUACUGACGCUGAGACGCGAAAGCGUGGGGAGCGAACAGG